AUGUGAUAAUAAACACGAUACAUGAUGCACAUGAUGCACGAUAAACGAUAAACGUUGACGUUGAGCCGUCCAUAAACACAAGAAAAAUUAAUGCUCGCAUCGAAUUCUUGAGGAAGACGUUGCGUUUACGUCUCUUUUUCACGGUGUCCCACACGUUAUGGAGGAGGUUCUUCAGCAGUUGGGAGUUGGAAUUCGCCCCGUAAGCGAUCCCUUUUUCGAGGAUUCCUACAAAGUCUGUAAGGUCUUCCAGAGAAAGGGAGUCACGAUCGAUGACGAGGAGGAACUCUGUCACGAAGUGAUUAAGGAAUUCUCAUGUUAUGUCCCAGGAUGCAAAAACACUUUUCAAACGCUGCUUGAUUAUGAAAUGCAUUACAACAGCUCGCAUCGAUAUGCCUGUACAGAAUGCAAAGUGUCCAGACCAAAUCCACGGCUGUUAGAAAUUCAUAUUCAGGAGACACACGAUGCCUUUUUCAAAGUCUUAUCGGAGAAACAAGCUAUGUAUCAAUGUUACGACUCUGAAUGUGAAAUAAAGUUCAACAACCCAGUAGAAAGGAAGGAACAUUGCAUUAAAAUACAUAAAUUUCCAAAAAAGUUUCGAUUUGAUGAUACAUUGUAUUAUAACAAGGAAGAUGAAUCAGAUAAAAUGGACAUUGACAAAACUGAUAUUGAUGACAAAAGGAAGAAAAAACCUGCUAAGAUAAUCUUAAAUAAGAAUCAAAGAAGCAAGAUGUUCACAAAUGAUACCACCAGUGUAGUUUGCAAAAAUAAUGAUAGUGUAGAAACAAUUUCAUCGACUACUGUAAAGUCUAAAAUUACACCAUUAGUUUUUGUCCCUAGGGAUAGUAGAUGACGUCAGGAUUGGGUAUAUUUAUCCCAUGAUAUUACCCGUAGCUGAGAUACCAUUUACUUCUAUUUACUUCACUUUUGACCUCCCAUUUGUCAAACUUCAGAAGAGGACUCAACUUGAAAUUUUUGGGGGGAUGUUUCAUCAUAAACUUUCAUUUAGCACAAUUUAAUUCCAAAUUCAAGGAUCAGAAAACAGAGAGAAAAAGGGAAAAGUGAACAGUCAUGCAAGAAGUUUCCCUAAAAAAACCAGACUUAUUAACACAUCUAUCGUCUGUGAUCUUCAUUACUGUUUAAAAAAAAGGAUUGAUAGAUACAUAUUUUAUAAAAUAAAAGAUAAAAUUCGUCAGUGUGUGCAAAAGGACAAGUUAUUCUCGAUACGACGGUGGCGAUUCCUCAUUAUGUCCCUGUCUCGCGAUCACGCCAAAUUUAGUCGUCCAUUCUCGGCUCCGGUUGAAGCUUGUCAAUCCUAGAAAAGCAGCCUGGCGCUCAAUUCACCGCCUCCUUUCUUGUGUAUACAAAUUUUUGCUCUUUUGGCUGCAUAACCCACAUUUCUAUGGUGCGCCCGUGAAAUGGCCGUAACCCGUUAUUUGCGAUUUUUCCCGUGAUCAUCGACGGUCCCGGCGACGGAUGAAUGCGUUCACCAUUUGCAUCUGUCGCACGCUCACAGACGUACGUGCACAGCAACGCAUCGUAACGGUAUCGGAUGGACGCAGCGUAUCCACCCCAUCGCUUUCCUCAAAACGUCUAGAUUUGCUGGCUGUGAAUAGCCAGAUGCACCGCUGACGCUGAUAGUUUUCUCAGGAUAUUUACAAGUGGGUGGACCAUAAAGGAAAAACGGACAUCUGAAACGGACAUCAUACUUUCUUGGAUCUUUUAACGCUAAUGAUGCUAUCGCGCCUGCAAAUAAAUUGCAUUUAUGAAAAUAUUUAAUAAGUCUACGUUCGGUUUUAAGAUUUUUCUAUAUUUUGUACUUUCAAAAGAAUUUGUUAUUCGAAAAUUUUCGAAUGUUAUAACGUGCGUUGUAUUAUACCGUACAUUGUAUGACUAUUACAAAUAUAAAAUCAUAAUACAACUGCGUGUUUCACAUGCAAUGUUUACGUGAUCCGUUAUUACUACUCGCUCCUCACCUGAUAGACGUAAUUGUUAACUGAUUUGCGAUCCGGUAUUGACGGAUUUCAUAAUUCCCACCAUGUAGUUAGCUUAUCAUUAUUCGAGACUUAGAUAUUUUUAAUAGUCUUACGUUCAUUUUUACGGAAACUGUUUUUCUAUUGGCAAUAAAGUCCCUGUCUACUGACACUCCCACGGGAUCCUUCAAGGAUUUUACCUUUUGAAGGAAAGUCUUUGUAACUUGAUGAAGAUGGAUCUUCGCGGCAUAUGUACGUUGAUUACACCCGAAUAGUUAUAUUCUAUUUAAGUUAUAAUUCAUCAAUACAUUAAAUAGUGAGAGUGUUACUUACGUUAACAGACCUAUCUCCAAAUUUUAAAGACAAAAAAAUUAUUAUAGGAUAAAACAGAUUCAAUUUAAUAACUAUUAAUAAUUAAUGAUUACAUAAACAAUUUUCAUAUUACAUAUCGUAUUUUGAUGAGCAUAUCCGCAAAAUUAAACUCGUCAGUAUUGACAAAAAUAAUAUUAAUAAGAAUUAUUAAGUUCAUAAAAUAACUUCGCUAAAAAUUGUGUAUAAAAUAAAAAAUAUGGCACAGUUAAACGCAUACGCGACCUAAAUGAAAUGAAAAAAGAGAAAUGCUUGUGAUGUGGAAAGAGAAUAUUAUAGUAGUCGGAGUGGACUGCAGAAAUUUUAGAAAAGCGGGUGUCCGGUUUCUAAGCCGAACAGCAAAGAGUUAGAGAGUUAGAGUACAAUCGCGCAGAGAAAUAUUUACUCACUAUUUGUUUGACAGACUUUUGGGAACGCUGUUCGUCAUUUAAAACUCUUAUGUAUUGUAAACUUUCUUUCGAUUUUGUUACCGUUGUUGAAUCAGUUUACCUUUGCUGCAAUUGUACUCAGAGAUUCUUUGUUCUCGCUUGAAACUUGUUUUCGCGUUUCAAGUAAAAUUUUAUCUUAAGUACACAUUCUCACAUAUAUUUAGAAUAUGUCUAUGCAGAAUUUCGAUUCUGACAUUGUAAUCAUUAGAUCCUAAAUUGCGUUUUGCAAUUCACGUCAUGAUGAACGUUGACUAAUAGCGAAUACUAACGCGAUUUUAUUACUUGAACCUGUUGUUAGUUAAAAAUAUUAUUAAAAAGUUAACUAUUACAAGUCAUCUUAAGUAAUAUCACAAGCAAAAUGUUGUGUUUUAUAACUUUUCAAAUAUAUUCGCAAAAUGCAACUGUUAUCUCGUAUAAUAUUCAUUUCUCAUCUCUACCCAAGCAGUAGGGUACUGUUAGAGUGCAAGUAGCAUUUACAUUUAAAUGAUAUAAGUUAUCAUUGAGACUCUAUUCUCUAACAAUUAGAGAACAAAGUCUUAAGAGUAACUUGUUCAUUUAAAUAUAAAUGAUACUUACCGAUUUGAUUUGCACAAAACAAUAACAAUUAUUAUUAUAACAACAAAACAAUUAUUAUAUUUUCUAGAACAGAAUUUGUUAGUUUAGUGAAAAAAAAUUAACCUUAGAAUAACUUUCUUUAAAUUAUUAAUACACCUUAUAAAAUAAAAUAAAAAAUUUUUAACAGUUGCAACAACAACAAAAAUGUUACUAACAGUCCCAAGUAAAAAUAUUUUUCAAACUAAUAUAAACACAAA
Molecule: unclassified non-coding RNA, 3579 nt
Filed under: Monomorium pharaonis (pharaoh ant)
Lineage: Eukaryota; Metazoa; Arthropoda; Insecta; Hymenoptera; Formicidae
Description: zinc finger protein 511, transcript variant X3
Source: RNAcentral